RNAcentral lists this ribosomal RNA (414 nucleotides) under uncultured microorganism. RNAcentral's name for it is "bacterial SSU rRNA". It matches the Rfam family "Archaeal small subunit ribosomal RNA", at positions 459 to 872 of the family's 1478-position model. The record is from RNAcentral.
CAGCCGCCGCGGUAAUACCGGCGGCCCGAGUGGCGGUCACUAUUAUUGGGCCUAAAACGUCCGUAGCCGGGCUGGUAAGUCCUCCGGGAAAUCUGGUCGCUUAACGAUCAGACUUCCGGAGGAUACUGCUGGCCUAGGGACCGGGAGAGGCCGAGGGUAUUCCCGGGGUAGGGGUGAAAUCCUGUAAUCCCGGGAGGACCACCUGUGGCGAAGGCGCUCGGCUGGAACGGGUCCGACGGUGAGGGACGAAGGCCAGGGGAGCGAACCGGAUUAGAUACCCGGGUAGUCCUGGCUGUAAACGAUGCGGACUAGGUGUCGGGCAAGCUAAGGGCUUGUCCGGUGCCGCAGGGAAGCCGUUAAGUCCGCCGCCUGGGGAGUACGGCCGCAAGGCUGAAACUUAAAGGAAUUGGCGGG